RNAcentral lists this ribosomal RNA (399 nucleotides) under uncultured bacterium. RNAcentral describes it as "partial 16S ribosomal RNA". It matches the Rfam family "Bacterial small subunit ribosomal RNA", at positions 338 to 734 of the family's 1533-position model. The record is from RNAcentral.
CCUACGGGUGGCUGCAGGGAGGAAUAUUGGUCAAUGGACGAGAGUCUGAACCAGCCAAGGAGCGUGAAGGAUGACUGCCCUAUGGGUUGGAAACUUUUUUUAUAUGGGAAUAAAAUGUUCCAUGUGUGGGAUUUUGUAUGUACCAUAUGAAUAAGGAUCGGCUAACCCCGCGCCAGCAGCGGCGGUAAUACGGUGGAUCCGAGCGUUAUCCGGAUUUAUUGGGUUUAAAGGGAGCGUAGGUGGAUUGUUAAGUCAGUUGUGAAAGUUUGCGGCUCAACCGUAAAAUUGCAGUUGAAACUGGCAGGCUUGAGUACAGUAGAGGGGGGCAGAAUUCGUGGUGUAGCGGUGAAAUGCUUAGAUAUCACGAAGAACUCCGAUUGCGAAGGCAGUUCACUGGAC